This 585-nucleotide ribosomal RNA is filed under the name uncultured bacterium. RNAcentral's name for it is "bacterial SSU rRNA". It matches the Rfam family "Bacterial small subunit ribosomal RNA", at positions 797 to 1382 of the family's 1533-position model. The record is from RNAcentral.
ACGCCGUAAACGAUGAGUGCUAGGUGUUAGACCCUUUCCGGGGUUUAGUGCCGCAGCUAACGCANUAAGCACUCCGCCUGGGGAGUACGACCGCAAGGUUGAAACUCAAAGGAAUUGACGGGGGCCCGCACAAGCGGUGGAGCAUGUGGUUUAAUUNGAAGCAACGCGAAGAACCUUACCAGGUCUUGACAUCCCUCUGACCGCUCUAGAGAUAGAGUUUUCCUUCGGGACAGAGGUGACAGGUGGUGCAUGGUUGUCGUCAGCUCGUGUCGUGAGAUGUUGGGUUAANNNNNNNNNCGAGCGCAACCCCUAUUGUUAGUUGCCUUCAUUAAGUUGGGCACUCUAGCGAGACUGCCGGUAAUAAACCGGAGGAAGGUGGGGAUGACGUCAAAUCAUCAUGCCCCUUAUGACCUGGGCUACACACGUGCUACAAUGGUCGGUACAACGAGUUGCGAGCCGGUGACGGCAAGCUAAUCUCUGAAAGCCGAUCUCAGUUCGGAUUGGAGGCUGCAACUCGCCUCCAUGAAGUCGGAAUCGCUAGUAAUCGCGGAUCAGCACGCCGCGGUGAAUACGUUCCCGGGCCUU